Molecule: unclassified non-coding RNA, 418 nt
Filed under: Hevea brasiliensis (rubber tree)
Lineage: Eukaryota; Viridiplantae; Streptophyta; Magnoliopsida; Malpighiales; Euphorbiaceae
Source: RNAcentral
AAGGAAGCCAAUAAUUCUUCCUAACCACAAGGCAUAAUUUGUUCCUUACCAUCUAUGCUCAACUGUAUAUAUAUGAAUACUAAUGUACUCUUUAAAAUAUAUAAUAAGAAGACGCAGAACUCCACCGUGGACGUAGGCUUGAAUUGCCAAACCACGUAGAAUCCUGAGUGUUAUUCUUCCCUUUCUCUUUUCUUCUAUAGAGACUAGAUCAUAGCACACAGAUUGAAAUUAACACAAUGAGUUAGGAUGGACAAGAUUAACUACAAAGACGAUGGCAUUUGGACAAAUUUUAUAGCCAGCCAACCAAGAUUUCUAAAAUUGUAUAGACAAAAUUGAUCAAAAGACAAUGGCAUUUCAGUACUACAAUUGUGGAUAGAAAGCAGAUAAUAGCAGGCAUUAUCUUAAGAAGCAAAACAUA